This 358-nucleotide ribosomal RNA is filed under the name uncultured bacterium. RNAcentral's name for it is "partial 16S ribosomal RNA". It matches the Rfam family "Bacterial small subunit ribosomal RNA", at positions 338 to 693 of the family's 1533-position model. The record is from RNAcentral.
CCUACGGGAGGCAGCAGUGAGGAAUAUUGGUCAAUGGACGCAAGUCUGAACCAGCCAUGCCGCGUGCAGGAUGACGGCUCUAUGAGUUGUACACUGCUUUUGUACGAGGGUAAACCCCGAUACGUGUAUCGGGAUGAAAGUAUCGUACGAAUAAGGAUCGGCUAACUCCGUGCCAGCGACCGCGGUAAUAAGGAGGAUCCGAGCGUGAUCCGGAGUUAUUGGGUUUAAAGGGUGCGUAGGCGGUUUGAUAAGUGAGAUGUGAAAUGUCGUGGAUCAACCCCGAAAAUGCCUCUAGUACUGUUGGACUAGAGAAUAGUUGCGGUAGGCGGAAUGUAUGGUGUAGCGGUGAAAUGCUUAG